AUUGAACGCUGGCGGCAUGCUUUACACAUGCAAGUCGGACGGCAGCACAGAGAAGCUUGCUUCUUGGGUGGCGAGUGGCGAACGGGUGAGUAAUAUAUCGGAACGUACCGAGUAAUGGGGGAUAACUAAUCGAAAGAUUAGCUAAUACCGCAUAUUCUCUGAGGAGGAAAGCAGGGGACCUUCGGGCCUUGCGUUAUUCGAGCGGCCGAUAUCUGAUUAGCUAGUUGGUGGGGUAAAGGCCUACCAAGGCGACGAUCACUAGCGGGUCUGAGAGGAUGAUCCGCCACACUGGGACUGAGACACGGCCCAGACUCCUACGGGAGGCAGCAGUGGGGAAUUUUGGACAAUGGGCGCAAGCCUGAUCCAGCCAUGCCGCGUGUCUGAAGAAGGCCUUCGGGUUGUAAAGGACUUUUGUCAGGGAAGAAAAGGCUGUUGCUAAUACCGACAGCUGAUGACGGUACCUGAAGAAUAAGCACCGGCUAACUACGUG
Molecule: ribosomal RNA, 490 nt
Filed under: uncultured bacterium
Lineage: Bacteria
Description: partial 16S ribosomal RNA
Rfam family: Bacterial small subunit ribosomal RNA
Source: RNAcentral